GGUUAUGUGGUGCAAUGGAUAGCACAUUGGACUUUUAUAACAAAAGGUUAUUCAAAGGCUGUGCGUUCAAGUCCUACCAGAGUCA
RNAcentral lists this transfer RNA (85 nucleotides) under Alligator mississippiensis (American alligator). It matches the Rfam family "tRNA". From Rfam's summary of the family: Transfer RNA (tRNA) molecules are approximately 80 nucleotides in length. The record is from Rfam by way of RNAcentral. Lineage: Eukaryota; Metazoa; Chordata; Crocodylia; Alligatoridae.